This 250-nucleotide long non-coding RNA is filed under the name Setaria viridis. Its description in RNAcentral is "long non-coding RNA (SVIR_LNC011048)". The record is from RNAcentral. Lineage: Eukaryota; Viridiplantae; Streptophyta; Magnoliopsida; Poales; Poaceae.
GCAAAUUGAAGCUAGGACAUGUGUAAGAUCAUCUAGGGUGAUCCCCUUAAAAUUUCUAACACGAGUUGUUCAGAUUUGGAUUUCCCCGAAAAUCCCCUCCUGAAGUUACCGAACAAAUUCAUAAAAUUCGUGGUGAAAUCAUGAUAUUCUUGGAUAGAUCUUUUGGGUAACAAUUCACCAUAUAUGCAUGGAGCUACUACUGAAGUUUCAUUGGAUUUGAAUCUUGUUUAAUUGGAUUUCAUGAUUUGGG